CCUACGGGAGGCAGCAGUGAGGAAUAUUGGUCAAUGGACGAGAGUCUGAACCAGCCAAGUAGCGUGAAGGAUGACUGCCCUAUGGGUUGUAAACUUCUUUUAUAUGGGAAUAAAAUGUUCCACGUGUGGGAUUUUGUAUGUACCAUAUGAAUAAGGAUCGGCUAACUCCGUGCCAGCAGCCGCGGUAAUACGGAGGAUCCGAGCGUUAUCCGGAUUUAUUGGGUUUAAAGGGAGCGUAGGUGGAUUGUUAAGUCAGUUGUGAAAGUUUGCGGCUCAACCGUAAAAUUGCAGUUGAAACUGGCAGUCGUGAGUACAGUAGAGGUGGGCGGAAUUCGUGGUGUAGCGGUGAAAUGCUUAGAUAGCACGAAGAACUCCGAUUGCGAAGGCAGCUCACUGGACUGCAACUGACACUGAGGCUCGAAAGUGUGGGUAUCAAACAGGAUUAGAUACCCCUGUAGUC
This 460-nucleotide ribosomal RNA is filed under the name uncultured bacterium. Its description in RNAcentral is "partial 16S ribosomal RNA". It matches the Rfam family "Bacterial small subunit ribosomal RNA", at positions 338 to 795 of the family's 1533-position model. The record is from RNAcentral.